Molecule: long non-coding RNA, 233 nt
Filed under: Mustela putorius furo (domestic ferret)
Lineage: Eukaryota; Metazoa; Chordata; Mammalia; Carnivora; Mustelidae
Description: lncRNA (ENSMPUG00000028016.1)
Source: RNAcentral
GGUCAUUAAAGGCUUUGCAGCUUCCAUCUGAUUUUUUGAUUGCUUGCUCUCAGGGAAUCCAGCAACCAUAUAAGAAGGCCAAUCACUCUAAGGUUGUCAUGGUGUAAGAAAGUGCAUGUAACUACAUGAAGAAGCCAUAUGAAGAAAGAGUGGCGCCCAGCUAUCCCAGCACCGAUGUCAGAAAUGUAGUCAAGUAAAUGAAAUGGACUUGCUUCAUUAACUCUCUAAGUUCC